GAUGAAGAACGCAGCGAAAUGCGAUAAGUAAUGUGAAUUGCAGAAUUCAGUGAAUCAUCGAAUCUUUGAACGCACAUUGCGCCCGCCAGUAUUCUGGCGGGCAUGCCUGUUCGAGCGUCAUUACAACCCUCAGGCCCCCGGGCCUGGCGUUGGGGAUCGGCGGAGCCCCCCGUGGGCACACGCCGUCCCCCAAAUGCAGUGGCGGUCCCGCCGCAGCUUCCAUCGCGUAGUAGCUAACACCUCGCGACUGGAGAGCGGCGCGGCCACGCUGUAAAACACCCAACUCUUCUGAAGUUGACCUCGAAUCAGGUAGGAAUACCCGCUGAACUUAAGCAUAUCAAUAAGCGGAGGA
RNAcentral lists this unclassified non-coding RNA (352 nucleotides) under soil metagenome. RNAcentral's name for it is "partial contains 5.8S ribosomal RNA, internal transcribed spacer 2, and large subunit ribosomal RNA". The stretch from base 1 to 120 matches the Rfam family "5.8S ribosomal RNA", at positions 35 to 154 of the family's 154-position model. The record is from RNAcentral.